Molecule: ribosomal RNA, 254 nt
Filed under: uncultured bacterium
Lineage: Bacteria
Description: partial 16S ribosomal RNA
Rfam family: Bacterial small subunit ribosomal RNA
Source: RNAcentral
UACGGAGGGUGCGAGCGUUGUCCGGAAUCAUUGGGCGUAAAGGGCGCGUAGGUGGCCCGGUCAGUUCGUGGUGAAAGCGCGGGGCUCAACCCUUCGUCGGCCAUGAAUACUGCCGCGGCUGGAGCACUGUAGAGGCAGGCGGAAUUCCGGGUGUAGCGGUGGAAUGCGUAGAGAUCCGGAAGAACACCGGUGGCGAAGGCGGCCUGCUGGGCAGUUGCUGACACUGAGGCGCGACAGCGUGGGGAGCAAACAGG